RNAcentral lists this unclassified non-coding RNA (207 nucleotides) under Hevea brasiliensis (rubber tree). The record is from RNAcentral. Lineage: Eukaryota; Viridiplantae; Streptophyta; Magnoliopsida; Malpighiales; Euphorbiaceae.
AAAGACUCUGAAGCACUUGGUUUGAGACGUUUAACCCAUCGGGUACACGGAUCCAAUCCUGAUGGACCCUCCGCACAAGCGUUAGAUUUUGCAUUUGUGGGAUGUUCAGCAUGGGAAAGGAAGUGUUCCACAUCUAAACUCUGGGUUCUCGAGGUGCUUCUCUCUGCAUCAUCUGCUGAAUUUGCCACACCUGAGAUUACAGGAAUU